AUAAUGGGUCAGCGACUUAUAUUCUGUAGCAAGGUUAACCGAAUAGGGGAGCCGAAGGGAAACCGAGUCUUAACUGGGCGUUAAGUUGCAGGGUAUAGACCCGAAACCCGGUGAUCUAGCCAUGGGCAGGUUGAAGGUUGGGUAACACUAACUGGAGGACCGAACCGACUAAUGUUGAAAAAUUAGCGGAUGACUUGUGGCUGGGGGUGAAAGGCCAAUCAAACCGGGAGAUAGCUGGUUCUCCCCGAAAGCUAUUUAGGUAGCGCCUCGUGAAUUCAUCUCCGGGGGUAGAGCACUGUUUCGGCAAGGGGGUCAUCCCGACUUACCAACCCGAUGCAAACUGCGAAUACCGGAGAAUGUUAUCACGGGAGACACACGGCGGGUGCUAACGUCCGUCGUGAAGAGGGAAACAACCCAGACCGCCAGCUAAGGUCCCAAAGUCAUGGUUAAGUGGGAAACGAUGUGGGAAGGCCCAGACAGCCAGGAUGUUGGCUUAGAAGCAGCCAUCAUUUAAAGAAAGCGUAAUAGCUCACUGGUCGAGUCGGCCUGCGCGGAAGAUGUAACGGGGCUAAACCAUGCACCGAAGCUGCGGCAGCGACGCUGAUGCGUUGUUGGGUAGGGGAGCGUUCUGUAAGCCUGCGAAGGUGUGCUGUGAGGCAUGCUGGAGGUAUCAGAAGUGCGAAUGCUGACAUAAGUAACGAUAAAGCGGGUGAAAAGCCCGCUCGCCGGAAGACCAAGGGUUCCUGUCCAACGUUAAUCGGGGCAGGGUGAGUCGACCCCUAAGGCGAGGCCGAAAGGCGUAGUCGAUGGGAAACAGGUUAAUAUUCCUGUACUUGGUGUUACUGCGAAGGGGGGACGGAGAAGGCUAUGUUGGCCGGGCGACGGUUGUCCCGGUUUAAGCGUGUAGGCUGGUUUUCCAGGCAAAUCCGGAAAAUCAAGGCUGAGGCGUGAUGACGAGGCACUGCGGUGCUGAAGCAACAAAUGCCCUGCUUCCAGGAAAAGCCUCUAAGCAUCAGGUAACAUCAAAUCGUACCCCAAACCGACACAGGUGGUCAGGUAGAGAAUACCAAGGCGCUUGAGAGAACUCGGGUGAAGGAACUAGGCAAAAUGGUGCCGUAACUUCGGGAGAAGGCACGCUGAUAUGUAGGUGAAGUCCCUCGCGGAUGGAGCUGAAAUCAGUCGAAGAUACCAGCUGGCUGCAACUGUUUAUUAAAAACACAGCACUGUGCAAACACGAAAGUGGACGUAUACGGUGUGACGCCUGCCCGGUGCCGGAAGGUUAAUUGAUGGGGUUAGCGCAAGCGAAGCUCUUGAUCGAAGCCCCGGUAAACGGCGGCCGUAACUAUAACGGUCCUAAGGUAGCGAAAUUCCUUGUCGGGUAAGUUCCGACCUGCACGAAUGGCGUAAUGAUGGCCAGGCUGUCUCCACCCGAGACUCAGUGAAAUUGAACUCGCUGUGAAGAUGCAGUGUACCCGCGGCAAGACGGAAAGACCCCGUGAACCUUUACUAUAGCUUGACACUGAACAUUGAGCCUUGAUGUGUAGGAUAGGUGGGAGGCUUUGAAGUGUGGACGCCAGUCUGCAUGGAGCCGACCUUGAAAUACCACCCUUUAAUGUUUGAUGUUCUAACGUUGACCCGUAAUCCGGGUUGCGGACAGUGUCUGGUGGGUAGUUUGACUGGGGCGGUCUCCUCCUAAAGAGUAACGGAGGAGCACGAAGGUUGGCUAAUCCUGGUCGGACAUCAGGAGGUUAGUGCAAUGGCAUAAGCCAGCUUGACUGCGAGCGUGACGGCGCGAGCAGGUGCGAAAGCAGGUCAUAGUGAUCCGGUGGUUCUGAAUGGAAGGGCCAUCGCUCAACGGAUAAAAGGUACUCCGGGGAUAACAGGCUGAUACCGCCCAAGAGUUCAUAUCGACGGCGGUGUUUGGCACCUCGAUGUCGGCUCAUCACAUCCUGGGGCUGAAGUAGGUCCCAAGGGUAUGGCUGUUCGCCAUUUAAAGUGGUACGCGAGCUGGGUUUAGAACGUCGUGAGACAGUUCGGUCCCUAUCUGCCGUGGGCGCUGGAGAACUGAGGGGGGCUGCUCCUAGUACGAGAGGACCGGAGUGGACGCAUCACUGGUGUUCGGGUUGUCAUGCCAAUGGCACUGCCCGGUAGCUAAAUGCGGAAGAGAUAAGUGCUGAAAGCAUCUAAGCACGAAACUUGCCCCGAGAUGAGUUCUCCCUGACUCCUUGAG
This 2230-nucleotide ribosomal RNA is filed under the name Escherichia coli. Its description in RNAcentral is "partial 23S ribosomal RNA". It matches the Rfam family "Bacterial large subunit ribosomal RNA", at positions 612 to 2825 of the family's 2925-position model. Lineage: Bacteria; Pseudomonadati; Pseudomonadota; Gammaproteobacteria; Enterobacterales; Enterobacteriaceae. The record is from RNAcentral.